Molecule: ribosomal RNA, 461 nt
Filed under: uncultured bacterium
Lineage: Bacteria
Description: bacterial SSU rRNA
Rfam family: Bacterial small subunit ribosomal RNA
Source: RNAcentral
ACUCCUACGGGAGGCAGCAGUAGGGAAUCUUCCACAAUGGGCGCAAGCCUGAUGGAGCAACACCGCGUGAGUGAAGAAGGGCUUCGGCUCGUAAAGCUCUGUUGUUAAAGAAGAACACGUAUGAGAGUAACUGUUCAUACGUUGACGGUAUUUAACCAGAAAGUCACGGCUAACUACGUGCCAGCAGCCGCGGUAAUACGUAGGUGGCAAGCGUUAUCCGGAUUUAUUGGGCGUAAAGAGAGUGCAGGCGGUUUUCUAAGUCUGAUGUGAAAGCCUUCGGCUUAACCGGAGAAGUGCAUCGGAAACUGGAUAACUUGAGUGCAGAAGAGGGUAGUGGAACUCCAUGUGUAGCGGUGGAAUGCGUAGAUAUAUGGAAGAACACCAGUGGCGAAGGCGGCUACCUGGUCUGCAACUGACGCUGAGACUCGAAAGCAUGGGUAGCGAACAGGAUUAGAUACCCU